This 708-nucleotide ribosomal RNA is filed under the name Burkholderia cenocepacia. RNAcentral describes it as "partial 23S ribosomal RNA". It matches the Rfam family "Bacterial large subunit ribosomal RNA", at positions 1 to 754 of the family's 2925-position model. Lineage: Bacteria; Pseudomonadati; Pseudomonadota; Betaproteobacteria; Burkholderiales; Burkholderiaceae. The record is from RNAcentral.
GGUCAAGCGAACAAGUGCAUGUGGUGGAUGCCUUGGCGAUCACAGGCGAUGAAGGACGCGGUAGCCUGCGAAAAGCUACGGGGAGCUGGCAAACGAGCUUUGAUCCGUAGAUGUCCGAAUGGGGAAACCCACUCCUUUUGGAGUAUCCAUGGCUGAAUACAUAGGCCAUGCGAAGCGAACGCGGUGAACUGAAACAUCUAAGUAACCGCAGGAAAAGAAAUCAACCGAGAUUCCCAAAGUAGUGGCGAGCGAAAUGGGAUGAGCCUUGCACUCUUUAUUUGUAUUGUUAGCCGAACGCUCUGGAAAGUGCGGCCAUAGCAGGUGAUAGCCCUGUAGGCGAAAACAGUAUGAAAGAACUAGGUGUGCGACAAGUAGGGCGGGACACGUGAAAUCCUGUCUGAAGAUGGGGGGACCAUCCUCCAAGGCUAAAUACUCGUGAUCGACCGAUAGUGAACCAGUACCGUGAGGGAAAGGCGAAAAGAACCCCGGGAGGGGAGUGAAAUAGAUCCUGAAACCGCAUGCAUACAAACAGUCGGAGCCUCGUAAGGGGUGACGGCGUACCUUUUGUAUAAUGGGUCAGCGACUUACGUUCAGUAGCAAGCUUAACCGUAUAGGGCAGGCGUAGCGAAAGCGAGUCCGAAUAGGGCGUUCAGUUGCUGGGCGUAGACCCGAAACCAGGUGAUCUAUCCAUGGCCAGGAUGAAGGUGC